GGGGCGUUAGCUCAGUUGGGAGAGCACCUGCUUUGCAAGCAGGGGGUCAUCGGUUCGAGCCCGAUACGCUCCA
This 73-nucleotide transfer RNA is filed under the name Gemmatirosa kalamazoonensis. Its description in RNAcentral is "tRNA-Ala (TGC) (tRNA-Ala-TGC-1-1)". It matches the Rfam family "tRNA". Rfam says of the family: Transfer RNA (tRNA) molecules are approximately 80 nucleotides in length. Their secondary structure includes four short double-helical elements and three loops (D, anti-codon, and T loops). The record is from Rfam by way of RNAcentral. Lineage: Bacteria; Pseudomonadati; Gemmatimonadota; Gemmatimonadia; Gemmatimonadales; Gemmatimonadaceae. RNAcentral also lists the same sequence under 6 other names.